CAUUGGAUAGCUCAGUGGGUAGAGCAUCGGACUGUUAAUCCGACUGUCGCGGGUUCGACCCCCGCUCCAAACA
This 73-nucleotide transfer RNA is filed under the name Dyella tabacisoli. It matches the Rfam family "tRNA". Rfam says of the family: Transfer RNA (tRNA) molecules are approximately 80 nucleotides in length. Their secondary structure includes four short double-helical elements and three loops (D, anti-codon, and T loops). Lineage: Bacteria; Pseudomonadati; Pseudomonadota; Gammaproteobacteria; Lysobacterales; Rhodanobacteraceae. The record is from Rfam by way of RNAcentral.